AGCUCCAAUAGCGUAUAUUAAAGUUGCUGCUGUUAAAAAGCUCGUAGUUGGAUUUCUGAUAUAAUUUAUCUGUCCCGUCGUGGUUACACGUAUGAGUGACGGAAUAAAUUUAUCUGUUUUGUAUGUGUGUUUUGUAGUGUGAAAGCAUUAUGAAAUAACUGUACAUCUUUUACUUUGAACAAAUUAGAGUGUUUCAAGCAGGCAUUUAUGCCUUGAAUACAUGAGCAUGGAAUAAUCAUCGAGGACUUUUUAGUUCUAUGUUGAUUGGUUCUAGAACUAUAGUAAUGAUGGAUAGGGAUAGUUGGGGGUGCUAGUAUUCCGAGGCCAGAGGUGAAAUUCUUGGAUUCUCGGAAGACUCACUUAGGCGAAAGCAUUCACCAAGGAUGUCUUCA
Molecule: ribosomal RNA, 392 nt
Filed under: uncultured eukaryote
Lineage: Eukaryota
Description: SSU rRNA
Rfam family: Eukaryotic small subunit ribosomal RNA
Source: RNAcentral